AAGUAGUAAAAAUUUAUUAAAACUUAUUUAUUUUGGCGGCAUAUCUUUUAUUAGAGGAACUUGUUUGUUAAUCGAUAAUCCACGUUAUUUUUUACUUUUAUUCAUAAUUUAUAUACCUCCAUCUAAAGAGUAAUUUUAAAUAAUCAUUCCUAAUCGUUCAUAAAAAGUUAGGUCAAGGUGUAAUCUAUGUUCAAGAAAAAAUGAGUUACAUUAAAAAUUAUUUUAAGGAUUAUAUCAUUACAAUUUUGUAUAAAAAAGGAUUUAACAGUAAUUUUUAGAUAUUAACUUAUUUUGAAUAAAAUUUAAUAUGUGC
RNAcentral lists this ribosomal RNA (313 nucleotides) under Platnickia elegans. RNAcentral's name for it is "partial 12S ribosomal RNA". The record is from RNAcentral. Lineage: Eukaryota; Metazoa; Arthropoda; Arachnida; Araneae; Zodariidae.